Molecule: ribosomal RNA, 490 nt
Filed under: uncultured bacterium
Lineage: Bacteria
Description: partial 16S ribosomal RNA
Rfam family: Bacterial small subunit ribosomal RNA
Source: RNAcentral
AGUGAACGCUGGCGGUAGGCCUAACACAUGCAAGUCGAACGGCAGCACAGUAAGAGCUUGCUCUUACGGGUGGCGAGUGGCGGACGGGUGAGGAAUACAUCGGAAUCUACUUUUUCGUGGGGGAUAACGUAGGGAAACUUACGCUAAUACCGCAUACGACCUACGGGUGAAAGCAGGGGAUCUUCGGACCUUGCGCGAUUGAAUGAGCCGAUGUCGGAUUAGCUAGUUGGCGGGGUAAAGGCCCACCAAGGCGACGAUCCGUAGCUGGUCUGAGAGGAUGAUCAGCCACACUGGAACUGAGACACGGUCCAGACUCCUACGGGAGGCAGCAGUGGGGAAUAUUAGACAAUGGGCGCAAGCCUGAUCCAGCCAUACCGCGUGGGUGAAGAAGGCCGUCGGGUUGGAAAGCCCUUUUGUUGGGAAAGAAAAGCAGCAGGUUAAUACCCCGCUGUUCUGACGGUACCCAAAGAAUAAGCACCGGCUAACUUCG